Molecule: non-coding RNA, 38 nt
Organism: Salmonella enterica subsp. enterica serovar Enteritidis
Lineage: Bacteria; Pseudomonadati; Pseudomonadota; Gammaproteobacteria; Enterobacterales; Enterobacteriaceae
Source: Rfam
AAGCGUAUUGGUAGCAGGAAGCCAAGGGCGGUAGCGUU